CCAGCGUCUACGGCCAUACCACCCUGAACGCGCCCGAUCUCGUCUGAUCUCUGAAGCUAAGCAGGUUCGGGUAUGGUUACUACUUGGAUGGGAGACCGCCUGGGAAUACCUGGUGCUGUAGGCUUUU
RNAcentral lists this ribosomal RNA (127 nucleotides) under Rhinolophus hipposideros (lesser horseshoe bat). Lineage: Eukaryota; Metazoa; Chordata; Mammalia; Chiroptera; Rhinolophidae. The record is from RNAcentral.